Molecule: ribosomal RNA, 316 nt
Filed under: Candidatus Egerieousia equi
Lineage: Bacteria; Pseudomonadati; Bacteroidota; Bacteroidia; Bacteroidales
Description: bacterial SSU rRNA
Rfam family: Bacterial small subunit ribosomal RNA
Source: RNAcentral
ACAAUGAAGAGUUUGAUCCUGGCUCAGGAUGAACGCUAGCGGCAGGCCUAACACAUGCAAGCCGAGGGGCAGCGCGGGGUGGCAACACUCUGGCGGCGACCGGCGGAAGGGUGCGUAACACGUGAGCAACAUUCCCGGAUCAGGGACAUAACCCGGAGAAAUCCGGACUAAUUUCCCAUGGUCCUCCAGGGGGACAUCCCACUGGAGGUAAAGAUUCGUCGGAUCCGGAUUGGCUCGCGGGACAUUAGCUUGACGGCGGGGUAACGGCCCACCGUGGCUACGAUGUCUAGGGGCUCUGAGAGGAGUGACCCCCACA